AUUGAACGCUGGCGGCAUGCCUUACACAUGCAAGUCGAACGGCAGCACGGGAGCAAUCCUGGUGGCGAGUGGCGAACGGGUGAGUAAAGUAUCGGAACGUGCCCAGUCGUGGGGGAUAACGUAGCGAAAGUUACGCUAAUACCGCAUACGAUCUAUGGAUGAAAGCGGGGGAUCGCAAGACCUCGCGCGAUUGGAGCGGCCGAUAUCAGAUUAGGUAGUUGGUGGGGUAAAGGCUCACCAAGCCGACGAUCUGUAGCUGGUCUGAGAGGACGACCAGCAACACUGGGACUGAGACCCGGCCCAGACUCCUACGGGAGGCAGCAGUGGGGAAUUUUGGACAAUGGGCGAAAGCCUGAUCCAGCCAUGCCGCGUGCAGGAUGAAGGCCUUCGGGUUGUAAACUGCUUUUGUACGGAACGAAAAGGUUUGGCCUAAUAAGCUGAGCUCAUGACGGUACCGUAAGAAUAAGCACCGGCUAACUACGUGCCAGCAGCCGCCGCGG
Molecule: ribosomal RNA, 500 nt
Filed under: uncultured bacterium
Lineage: Bacteria
Description: partial 16S ribosomal RNA
Rfam family: Bacterial small subunit ribosomal RNA
Source: RNAcentral